RNAcentral lists this ribosomal RNA (497 nucleotides) under uncultured bacterium. RNAcentral's name for it is "partial 16S ribosomal RNA". It matches the Rfam family "Bacterial small subunit ribosomal RNA", at positions 28 to 507 of the family's 1533-position model. The record is from RNAcentral.
GAUGAACGCUGGCGGCGUGCCUAAUACAUGCAAGUCGAGCGAACAGACGAGGAGCUUGCUCCUCUGACGUUAGCGGCGGACGGGUGAGUAACACGUGGAUAACCUACCUAUAAGACUGGGAUAACUUCGGGAAACCGGAGCUAAUACCGGAUAAUAUAUUGAACCGCAUGGUUCAAUAGUGAAAGACGGUCUUGCUGUCACUUAUAGAUGGAUCCGCGCGGCAUUAGCUAGUUGGUAAGGUAACGGCUUACCAAGGCAACGAUGCGUAGCCGACCUGAGAGGGUGAUCGGCCACACUGGAACUGAGACACGGUCCAGACUCCUACGGGAGGCAGCAGUAGGGAAUCUUCCGCAAUGGGCGAAAGCCUGACGGAGCAACGCCGCGUGAGUGAUGAAGGUCUUCGGAUCGUAAAACUCUGUUAUUAGGGAAGAACAUAUGUGUAAGUAACUGUGCACAUCUUGACGGUACCUAAUCAGAAAGCCACGGCUAACUACGUG